AUUCCAAUCGAACUCGGAGAUAGCUGGUUCUCCCCGAAAUAGCUUUAGGGCUAGCCUCAUGUUAGAUAUCCGGAGGUAAAGCACUGAAUGGCCUAGCGUCCGAGAGGAUAGCGAAGCCUAUCAAACUAAGAAUGCCGGAGUAUUGAUGUAUGGGAGUCAGACAGUGUGAGAUAAAUCUCAUUGUCAAAAGGGAAACAGCCCAGAUCUACAGCUAAGGUCCCAAAUUGUAUCUAAGUGGAAAACGAUGUGGAAAUACGCAGACAACCAGGAUGUUGGCUCAGAAGCAGCCACUCAUUUAAAGAGUGCGUAAUAGCUCACUGGUCGAGCGUCUCUGCGCGGAAAAUUUAACGGGGCUAAGAUACAAACCGAAGCUUAGGCUGCACUUUUAGUGCGGGGUAGGGGAGCGUUGUGUAAGCGGAGAAACAGUAGCGAAAGCGGCUGUGGAGUUUACAGAAGUGAGAAUGCCGGAAUGAGUAGCGCGAAUGAUGUGAGAAUCAUCAUGGCCGGAAACCUCAGGUUUUUGGAGGAAGGUUCGUCCGCUCCAAGUUAGGCGGGAGCUAAGGUGAGGCCGAAAGGCGUAGCCGAUGCACAGACGGUAGAGAUUCCGUCCCCACCGAAAGAUUUAAGCGCAGGGACACUUUUAGAAGGUCGGAGCCAGGUGUUGGUUCUGGUAGAGAUCGAGGGAAAUUUAGUACCGAAGUCCGGCUGGAUAAGAGGCGAGAAAAGCUGCGUGUAUAUCUAAGGUGCCCGUACCGCAAACCGACACAGGUAGGUAGGAAGAAGAUUCUAAGGCCAACGGGAGAAGGGUUGUUAAGGAACUCGGCAAGUUGACCCCGUAACUUCGGAAUAAGGGGUGCUCAUGAAAGUGAGCCGCAGAGAAUAGGCCCAGGCAACUGUUUACCAAAAACACAGGUUUGUGCUAAAUCGAAAGAUGACGUAUACGAGCUGACGCCUGCCCGGUGCUGGAAGGUUAAAAGGAGAUGUGCAAGCAUUGAAUUGAAGCCCCAGUGAACGGCGGCCGUAACUAUAACGGUCCUAAGGUAGCGAAAUUCCUUGUCAGGUAAGUUCUGACCCGCAUGAAAGGCGUAAUGAUCUGGGCACUGUCUCAACAGCCCGCCCGGCGAAAUUGUAGUACCGGUGAAGAUGCCGGUUACCCGCGACAAGACGGAAAGACCCCAUGGAGCUUUACUGUAGCCUAAUAUUGGGUUUCGAUGUUGCAUGCACAGGAUAGAUGGGACACAGGGAAACAAUCGCUUUGGCGGUUGCGGAGUGGCCGUUGGGAUACCAUCCUUGCGAUAUUGGAAUUCUAACCUGCGGCUCUGAAUCGAGUCGGGGGACAUUGUUAGGUGGGCAGUUUGACUGGGGCGGUCGCCUCCUAAAAAGUAACGGAGGCGUUCAAAGGGUCGCUCAGCUUGAACGGAAAUCAAGCAAAAGAGUGCAAACGCAGAAGCGAGCCUAACUGCGAGACUGACGGGUCGAGCAGUAACGAAAGUUGGAGUUAGUGAUCCGGUGGUAUGUGAGUGGAAAUGCCAUCGCUCAACGGAUAAAAGUUACCCUGGGGAUAACAGGCUGAUCUCCCCCAAGAGUCCACAUCGACGGGGAGGUUUGGCACCUCGAUGUCGGCUCAUCGCAUCCUGGGGCUGUAUUCGGUCCCAAGGGUUUGGCUGUUCGCCAAUUAAAGCGGUACGCGAGCUGGGUUCAGAACGUCGUGAGACAGUUCGGUCCCUAUCUGUCGUGGGCGCAGGAUAUUUGAUGGGAGCUGUCCCUAGUACGAGAGGACCGGGACGGACGUACCUCUGGCGCACCAGUUGUUCCGCCAGGAGCAUAGCUGGGCAACUACGUACGGAUCGGAUAAACGCUGAAAGCAUCUAAGCGUGAAGCCGACCCAAAGAUAAGAUAUCCCAUUGUUUUAAACAAGUAAGACCCCUUGAAGACUACAAGGUUGAUAGGCACGAUGUGUAAGUGGAGUGAUCCAUUCAGCAAGCGUGUACUAAUAGGUCGAGGGCUUGACCAC
This 2014-nucleotide ribosomal RNA is filed under the name metagenome. Its description in RNAcentral is "bacterial LSU rRNA". It matches the Rfam family "Bacterial large subunit ribosomal RNA", at positions 826 to 2925 of the family's 2925-position model. The record is from RNAcentral.